AGCUUUGUGCACUGGCAGCAUUGUAGCCAAUGAGGUUUAUCCGAGGUGUGAUUAUUGCUAAUUAAAAGAUGAACUGUGGGGAGUGAAACCAUCCCAAAGAGGUCGGUAGGGAAAAACCAAAUGCUUUGUAGAAAA
Molecule: small nuclear RNA, 135 nt
Filed under: Neogale vison (American mink)
Lineage: Eukaryota; Metazoa; Chordata; Mammalia; Carnivora; Mustelidae
Description: Neovison vison (American mink) U4 spliceosomal RNA (ENSNVIG00000000658.1)
Rfam family: U4 spliceosomal RNA (bases 1-75)
About the family: U4 small nuclear RNA (U4 snRNA) is a component of the major U2-dependent spliceosome. The structure of U4 snRNA from yeast and human has been reported.
Source: RNAcentral